CUUGUACUCUCUCCGUCUAAAAAAGUUUGUCCUUCAAAUGGAUGUAUCUAGCACUAAGUUAGUGCUAGAUACAUCCAUUUAAAGAACAAGCUUGGGAUAAGCUUUUUCGGACGGAGGGAGUAUAUA
Triticum aestivum (bread wheat) is the source of this 126-nucleotide non-coding RNA. The record is from Rfam. NCBI's taxonomy places the organism in Eukaryota, Viridiplantae, Streptophyta, Magnoliopsida, Poales, Poaceae.